AUUGAACGCUGGCGGCAUGCCUUACACAUGCAAGUCGAACGGUAACAGGUCUUCGGAUGCUGACGAGUGGCGAACGGGUGAGUAAUACAUCGGAACGUGCCCGAUCGUGGGGGAUAACGAAGCGAAAGCUUUGCUAAUACCGCAUACGAUCUACGGAUGAAAGCAGGGGACCGCAAGGCCUUGCGCGAACGGAGCGGCCGAUGGCAGAUUAGGUAGUUGGUGGGAUAAAAGCUUACCAAGCCGACGAUCUGUAGCUGGUCUGAGAGGACGACCAGUCACACUGGGACUGAGACACGGCCCAGACUCCUACGGGAGGCAGCAGUGGGGAAUUUUGGACAAUGGGCGAAAGCCUGAUCCAGCCAUGCCGCGUGCAGGAUGAAGGCCUUCGGGUUGUAAACUGCUUUUGUACGGAACGAAAAGACUCUGGUUAAUACCUGGGGUCCAUGACGGUACCGUAAGAAUAAGCACCGGCUAACUACGUG
This 482-nucleotide ribosomal RNA is filed under the name uncultured bacterium. Its description in RNAcentral is "partial 16S ribosomal RNA". It matches the Rfam family "Bacterial small subunit ribosomal RNA", at positions 30 to 507 of the family's 1533-position model. The record is from RNAcentral.